CCCUUAGAUGUUCUGGGCCGCACACGCGCUACACUGAAGGAGGCAGCGUGUACUCCUGGAUCGAAAGAUUUGGGUAACCCGCGAAUCUCCUUCGUGCUAGGGAUUGAGGUUUGCAAUUAUCCUUCAUGAACGAGGAAUUCCCAGUAAGUGCAAGUCAUAAGCUUGCGCUGACUACGUCCCUGCCCUUUGUACACACCGCCCGUCGCUACUACCGAUUGAAUGAUUUAGUGAGGACUUCGGACUGGGACCGAUGCGGCGUUCGGGCUGCGUCGGUAUUCUGGAAAGAUGUCCAAACUGUAUCAUUUAGAGGAAGUAAAAGUCGUAACA
Molecule: ribosomal RNA, 327 nt
Filed under: uncultured eukaryote
Lineage: Eukaryota
Description: partial 18S ribosomal RNA
Rfam family: Eukaryotic small subunit ribosomal RNA
Source: RNAcentral